Long non-coding RNA from Magallana angulata, 1802 nucleotides. RefSeq lists it as uncharacterized. The transcript is spliced from 4 exons. The record is from RefSeq and is a predicted model, not a curated record. NCBI's taxonomy places the organism in Eukaryota, Metazoa, Mollusca, Bivalvia, Ostreida, Ostreidae.
CCUCAGGGUCCACGCAACAAUCACUAUGAAUGAAAAUGUUUUUAUAUCUUGUUAUUAUUUACCAAUAUUCAUCUUGUUUAUAAGGGUAAAUUAUAAAUAUUUCAACUAAUUAACUUAGUAUACUUCAAUCAUAUACUUAUAAAUAUCAAUAUUUACAUAUCGCUGACCCUCACGUCAUGGGGUUAUCAUUCAUUCUGAGCAAUGGCGAAGAUGAGCUGCACAACUUCAAUCAUUAUCCUUGUAAAUGACAUAAAUAAGUGAAAGAGGAUAAUAUUCAACCCCAGCUUCCUACAGUUGACCAACAAACACCACAAACUGGAAACCCCCAGAUUAUGACGAAUGGCACAUCUGACCAAACAACUGAGUGUUUCAGAUACUAUUGUAAGAGAUUCAGAUGAAAAUGAAGUGCAACUUUGUUAUCCUGAACCAACAGCUGCAAAACCUAUAGAAAAGACAUCCAAAAUACAACUGCAGCAAAUUGAUUACCUUCUCGAUUAACUUGGUCAUCAGGUUAAAAAUCCACAUGUCAUAAAAUAUAGAUUAUCUACAAUAAUUAAGUCUUUAGAAAGUUUAAUUUCAGGUAAUAAAGCUUGCAUGACCAUUCAAGAUGAAAAUCCCAUGAAGCUAAAUCCCACCGAAAGAAUUGCAGGAAACGCAAAUAAUAUACUGCAACCAAGGUUUCACAAAACUGAAAUAAAAAGGGGAUGGCCGAGGAAAACACCACUGAAGAGACCAACAGAAGAGGAUAUAUGAAAAAACUUCUAAAGUUUAUGAAUAUUUUUUUUUGAAUAUACUAAUCAAUAAUAGGGAUAAUUUUGCUUUGGUUGAAUGGUCACAGAAGAUUCACUGAUAAAUACUUGAAAUAUAUGUUAACUAUGGAGAAAUGUAUAAGAGAAUAUAUACCCUACAUGUAUUGUAAAACUUGAUCAAAAUGUGAAUUGUAUUAAAUGCAAUACUAGAAAUUGAUUAACAAAUGCUAAGUUCCAUUGAAUAUCAUUAAUAUGACAGGAAUGAAGGGGAGACUCCUACACAGACACAGGGGACAGCAGCAGGACCAUCUCAUGGCUCUGUUGCUCCCUACCCUCCACUCAGGUUGGUUCAUCCCCAAGGACAACCACUGCAACUGUCUCGGAGUGAUGAACAAAAUGUGUUUUCAUAAGUUACUUCGUUAAUUUGAUUUGUAACAUGUAAUUUUUUAAAGUAUUAUUUGUAAUCACUUACAAGCACAUUGAAACUACUCCUGUCAAGUGCAAUAAAUAUGUUGAAUGUAUUGAUGUUAUUGUGCUUAUGUAUGUUUAUUGAUUUUAUUACAAAGUAUUGGCCAAAGUGGACUAGUUCAACCAUCUUGGAUGAGAAUACCACCAUCUAUGUUAGGCAAAAGGAUAACUGUUGUCAAAGAUGGAAAGCCUCAACAGAUCAUAUUUUCCACUAAUGGUGACCAGGGAAAUCCAGAUCCUGAUGGAGAGUGAGGGUAGAGGCAGAUAUGUGGCUGUGGCAUUAAGUCAGUCCGGUAGUAGACUGGCAAUGGCAAAAAGGUAUUUCCUAAGGCCAGUGUCAUCAGCUACAUAUUCUCUACUUGAGCUUGCCGGAGAUUGGGACAGCAAAUGAACCUAAAUGCAACAUCCAGUUUUAAAUGGUGGGCUGUGGAGGGUAGAGGCAGGUAUGUGGCUUUGACAUUAAGUCAGUUCAGUAGCAGACUGGCAAUGGCAAAUAGGCAUGAAUGGCAUCAAAUGUCUAAGGCCAAUGUCUAAAGCUACAUAUUCUCAACCUAAAAUCUUGAAUGUAUUUUACAUGUAUAACUG